AGACGGGGCCCGCACAAGCGGUGAGCAUGUGGUUUAAUUCGAAGCAACGCGAAGAACCUUACCAGGUCUUGACAUCCCGAUGCUAUUUCUAGAGAUAGAAAGUUUGCUUCGGUACAUCGGUGACAGGUGGUGCAUGGUUGUCGUCAGCUCGUGUCGUGAGAUGUUGGGUUAAGUCCCGCAACGAGCGCAACCCCUAUUGUUAGUUGCCAUCAUUCAGUUGGGCACUCUAGCGAGACUGCCGGUAAUAAACCGGAGGAAGGUGGGAUGACGUCAAAUCAUCAUGCCCCUUAUGACCUGGGCUACACACGUGCUACAAUGGUUGGUACAACGAGUUGCGAGUCGGUGACGGCGAGCUAAUCUCUUAAAGCCAAUCUCAGUUCGGAUUGUAGGCUGCAACUCGCCUACAUGAAGUCGGAAUCGCUAGUAAUCGCGGAUCAGCACGCCGCGGUCGAAUACGUUCCCGGGCCUU
RNAcentral lists this ribosomal RNA (469 nucleotides) under uncultured Streptococcus sp. RNAcentral's name for it is "bacterial SSU rRNA". It matches the Rfam family "Bacterial small subunit ribosomal RNA", at positions 916 to 1381 of the family's 1533-position model. Lineage: Bacteria; Bacillati; Bacillota; Bacilli; Lactobacillales; Streptococcaceae. The record is from RNAcentral.